AACGAACGCUGGCGGCAUGCCUAACACAUGCAAGUCGAACGAGACCUUCGGGUCUAGUGGCGCACGGGUGCGUAACGUGUGGGAACCUGCCCUUAGGUUCGGAAUAACUCCCCGAAAGGGGUGCUAAUACCGGAUAAUGUCUUCGGACCAAAGAUUUAUCGCCUUUGGAUGGGCCCGCGUUGGAUUAGCUAGUUGGUAGGGUAAAAGCCUACCAAGGCGACGAUCCAUAGCUGGUCUGAGAGGAUGAUCAGCCACACUGGGACUGAGACACGGCCCAGACUCCUACGGGAGGCAGCAGUGGGGAAUAUUGGACAAUGGGCGAAAGCCUGAUCCAGCAAUGCCGCGUGAGUGAUGAAGGCCUUAGGGUUGUAAAGCUCUUUUACCCGGGAUGAUAAUGACAGUACCGGGAGAAUAAGCUCCGGCUAGCUCCGUG
RNAcentral lists this ribosomal RNA (433 nucleotides) under uncultured bacterium. RNAcentral's name for it is "partial 16S ribosomal RNA". It matches the Rfam family "Bacterial small subunit ribosomal RNA", at positions 29 to 507 of the family's 1533-position model. The record is from RNAcentral.